Mesocricetus auratus (golden hamster) is the source of this 949-nucleotide long non-coding RNA. RefSeq lists it as uncharacterized. The transcript has 3 exons. Lineage: Eukaryota; Metazoa; Chordata; Mammalia; Rodentia; Cricetidae. The record is from RefSeq and is a predicted model, not a curated record.
AGCUCUCAGAAAUUGUUCCAGUACCAUGCCUGCCUGCUGAAGUGUUCCCCACCAUGGCAGUGAUGGACCCCUAUUGCUUAAUAAUUACACUAUGCAAGCCAUCCAUUGCCAUCAGAGAUCAAUACUGUGUUCAGUCUUCAUCAGAAGAACUUCUUAUAUAAUGAUGGCAGCUAAUGCAGAUACUCACCUGUAAGGAGCCAAACUCACCCCAUUGGAGGUUCAGGGAGCAUCAGUAAAGAGGAAGGAGAAGUAUGCAAGAGCCAGGGGCUGGGUCAAUGUGCAGGGAAAGAGACGUCCUCUGGACAUAACACUGUCACUGCACUUGUAACUCACUGCAGCUGUGGUUGCUUGCAAACGACUGCACUGAAUUGGACCUGCUAAUAUCUCAUCCCAAAUAGGAGAGGGAGCCAUGAGACUCCCACCCUGUCCGGGGCAGGUAUGGGCUGCUGGUGGAGAAGGCUUCACUUCCUUCAGAGAAACUGCUGGAGCAUGUGAAGGGGCAGGUUUGGCAGAUCCAAAACUGCAGGAUUUCCACAACAUAUUGAAGCAACAGGAUAUUCAAGAGCAGUCCCAAUGAAGACCCAGUGUUGUGGUGUAGCAGAAGCCAGAUGCCUCAAACCUGACCAAUGACUCAUUGCAAUGAACACUUGCAAGUAAAGAUGUAUGGAUGGUCUAAAGGGUAUACUGUGUCUCAUUGUGAUGCAGUAUGGCUUUCACGAUGAGAUUCUUGCUGUUGUUGUUGUCUUUAUUUUAUUUUGGGGGUAGCUUGCAAGGGUAGAGAGCAGAUAUGAAGGGAGGGGGAGACAUGUGGGAUUAGGGUGCAAGAUGUGAAAUUUUUGUCUUGUUUUUUUAAAAUCUAGCUGUAGGACAUUUCCUUUUCCUUCCUUCCUUCCUUCCUUUCAUUCUUUCUGUUUGUUUUUUUAGAGAGGGAUUCUGUGUGUAGUCCUGA